RNAcentral lists this ribosomal RNA (387 nucleotides) under Viridibacillus sp. Its description in RNAcentral is "bacterial SSU rRNA". It matches the Rfam family "Bacterial small subunit ribosomal RNA", at positions 111 to 484 of the family's 1533-position model. Lineage: Bacteria; Bacillati; Bacillota; Bacilli; Caryophanales; Caryophanaceae. The record is from RNAcentral.
UAACACGUGGGCAACCUACCUAGUAGAUUGGGAUAACUCCGGGAAACCGGGGCUAAUACCGAAUAAUUCAUUUCACCUCAUGGUGAGAUGCUGAAAGGCGGUUUCGGCUGUCACUACUAGAUGGGCCCGCGGUGCAUUAGCUAGUUGGUGGGGUAAUGGCCUACCAAGGCAACGAUGCAUAGCCGACCUGAGAGGGUGAUCGGCCACAUUGGGACUGAGACACGGCCCAAACUCCUACGGGAGGCAGCAGUAGGGAAUCUUCCACAAUGGACGAAAGUCUGAUGGAGCAACGCCGCGUGAGUGAUGAAGGUUUUCGGAUCGUAAAACUCUGUUGUAAGGGAAGAACAAGUACGUUAGUAACUGAACGUACCUUGACGGUACCUUAUU